This is a long non-coding RNA of Oncorhynchus tshawytscha (Chinook salmon), 712 nucleotides long. RefSeq lists it as uncharacterized. The transcript is spliced from 2 exons. Lineage: Eukaryota; Metazoa; Chordata; Actinopteri; Salmoniformes; Salmonidae. The record is from RefSeq and is a predicted model, not a curated record.
ACAGGUGCAGGAAUAAGUAAUAUGGAUUUUUAUUUCACCCAAAUUACGCCGUGCCGUGUAAAAGCAUGAGAGGACCAAACAAACACGUAACAAAAGAGCGAGGAGUACCUUGAAUAAAUAACACACACUCAUGAUGAUAAACAUAUUGGACAAGACCCGUAAUCAUCUGCGCAAUUCACAAGGGCACGAAAGCCCAAAACACACAGCACAGGUUGAAGCACAUCCCACAAUGACAGUCUGCAGAUGUAAAGAACUUGUUGUGAACCUCCCAACCACCAGGAUAAUUACCAUAUCCCAGGGUAUUAUUCAGGAGCCAACACCGCAAUUUAGAUAGAAAAAGAUUCACCCAUGUUAUUGUUUAUCAUGCAGAUUUGUCAUGGCAUUGUAAUUUAUUGAGCCCAUUCUAAAUUACAGACAUGAUUUAUGCCGUGGGGAUCACAGUGUGCAAGUCUUCAAUUUAGACCACAAUUACUUUAAUUAGGUGUUAGUGAAGGGUUGGAACAAAAACCUGUAAACUCCUGUCCUGUGUAUAAAAAAACAACAACCCUGUGGCUGUCAUGACUAAAUUUGCCCUCCUACUGAACAAGUUUCUGAAUGUUGGAGGUUAAUCUCCUUGAGAUGUCCCUCAUUUGGGAAUGACUUAUUUUGUACAAUGGACUGUUUUAAGGACUCAAAAACCAAAAUAAUUUUAAUAUUAAAAAUUACAAGUGUU